Long non-coding RNA from Dalotia coriaria, 1417 nucleotides. RefSeq lists it as uncharacterized. Lineage: Eukaryota; Metazoa; Arthropoda; Insecta; Coleoptera; Staphylinidae. The record is from RefSeq and is a predicted model, not a curated record. The transcript has 3 exons.
GAAAAUUAACUAUAAAAGUCUCAGAAAAAGCAAAUAUUGUUCAGUUGUUUAUUAACUAUUGUCUCGAUUACCAAGUCAUUAGUAAAACAAAACAAAAACUUUUAAAAAAACGUUAAACUACUUAUCAAGAGCCAAAAUGUCUGAUUCUGUUAAGAAAGAAAUAAACAAACCAGAAGUUCCUCAAGAAGAAACGCAAGUCGAUGCAAUCAUUAAGGAGGAUAUGAUGAUUAGGUGCAAUAAAACGCAAUUGUUUACUGGAAAUAAAGGUCGGCAAAGAGUAAUUGAGACCCAAAAUCAAGAGUUUGACCAGAAAAAAUUAAACAUUUAAAAAAAAUGUUAGUAAUUUACCUAUAGAUUCUGUACUAUCUAUGCGUUAUGAAUACAAGUAAAGUGUAUUAAUAAGUCAUUUGAUUUUUUUCUAAAUCAAUUAUUAUUUUUGCACUAAAUUCAUUAAAUUAAAAAAAUAUUCAUGUAGGUAUUUACUUUGAUUUCUUUACUGUCUAAAUUUUUUAGUCUUUUACAGUAUAUUAAGUAUCAAGUGGGUUACACAGGAGUACUUUAGUCACGACCUUGGCCGUUCGUGCUUAAAACACUAAUUUUGAUGUGGUAAGCAAAAAUUGAAAAUCUGCUUACAAUCAAGCUUUUUUAUUGCCAAAAUAAGUUAUUUAAAUUAUAUUAUCAUGAACCACACACAAUACUCUUGAGAUUAAUAUUCUAAAUACGACAUUUUAGAGGAUUAAAAUAUACUGCGACUUAUCAUAAUGAUAAUCGCAUUGAAUCAGAAAAUUAACUAUAAAAGUCUCGGAAAAGGCAAAUAUUAUUCAGUUGUUUAUUAACUAUUGUCUCAUUUACCUAACCAUCAGAAUAACAAAAAAAGAAAAAACUUUAAAAAAAACGUUAAACUACUUAUCAAGAGGUAAAAUGUCUGAUUCGGCAAAGAAACAAGUAAACAAACCAGAAGUUCCUCCAGAAGAAACGCAAGUCGAUGCAAUCAUUAUUUACGAGAAUAAUAUAGCCAGUGACAGUUGCAAUGAAACGCAAGUCGAUGGACAUAAAGGUCUGCAAAUAGUAAUUAAUACCCAAGAUCAAGAGUUUGACGAGAGAUAAUUUAUAAAAAUGUUAAUAAUCUUAAAAACUAGAUGUAGUUUCUGUACUGUAUAGGUAUGCGUUAUGAAUACAAGUAAAGUGUAUUAAUAAGUUACUUGAUUUUUCCUAAAUCAAUUACACUUUCAUUUAGGUAGGGUAAAAGAGGGUAAUGGGAGUCACUUAAGGGAGAACUCAAAUAUAAUUUCAAUUAUAAACAAAAUACUUAUUAUACUACUAUUAUACUACUCUACUACGUAGAGUGCUGAUGUAUAUUACAGAAUUAUUAUUUUUGCUCUAAAUUCAUUAAAUUAAAAUAAUAUUCAUGUAGUUA